CCUACGGGUGGCAGCAGUGGGGAAUAUUGGACAAUGGGCGAAAGCCUGAUCCAGCCAUGCCGCGUGUGUGAAGAAGGCCUUCGGGUUGUAAAGCACUUUCAGUGGGGAAGAAAGCCUUGGGGCUAAUACCCUCGAGGAAGGACAUCACCCACAGAAGAAGCACCGGCUAACUCCGUGCCAGCAGCCGCGGUAAUACGGAGGGUGCGAGCGUUAAUCGGAAUUACUGGGCGUAAAGCGCGCGUAGGCGGUCUGAUAAGCCGGUUGUGAAAGCCCCGGGCUCAACCUGGGAACGGCAUCCGGAACUGUCAGGCUAGAGUGCAGGAGAGGAAGGUAUAAAUCCCGGUGUAGCGGUGCCAUGCGUAGAGAUCGGGAGGACUACCCGUGGCGAAGGCGGCCUUCUGGACUGACACUGACGCUGGGGUGCGAAAGCGUGGGUAGCAAACAGGCUUCGAUACCCCUGUAGUC
RNAcentral lists this ribosomal RNA (465 nucleotides) under Vreelandella stevensii. RNAcentral describes it as "partial 16S ribosomal RNA". It matches the Rfam family "Bacterial small subunit ribosomal RNA", at positions 338 to 795 of the family's 1533-position model. Lineage: Bacteria; Pseudomonadati; Pseudomonadota; Gammaproteobacteria; Oceanospirillales; Halomonadaceae. The record is from RNAcentral.